UAAUUAUAAUAUUCUUUAGUGUCUUAUUUUAUUUCAUUUCCAACAUCUUAAGCACAAACAAUAAUUACAAGGUCUGUGAAAUUAUGAAAAAUAAAAAUGAUUAAAAAAUACACUUAUUGGGUGAGAGUAUAAUAACUAAAUGCCAAUUGCGAAAUAGCAUAUUCAACAAUUGUUUUUUUCUCUCUAUUUUAAGAAUUCAUUCUUCAUUGCGUGGUGUAAAUUUAUUCUCUUGGUCCUGGUACUCAUACCAUAAAUUGAAUGACUUUAUACAGAUGACAUGAACUUUUAAUGCAUCUCCAGUUAUACAUAUUUAACUUACUUAUUGGACAAUCAGCAUCAGUUUUACAUUCAAUAAUAUAUACUGUAGUGAAAAAAGAGGAUAAAAUGAUGUUACUAAAAUGAGAUAAAAUAUAUACAAAUUAAAAAGUAAAGAAGAGAAUUUUAAAAGUGGGUAAAAUGUCUUACAAGCAACGUUCUUUGAAACAAGAAACAAGGAAAUAAAUAAAAUCAUUGCACACACAAAAUUUAAAGUUUU
RNAcentral lists this long non-coding RNA (535 nucleotides) under Medicago truncatula (barrel medic). RNAcentral's name for it is "lncRNA gene31462". Lineage: Eukaryota; Viridiplantae; Streptophyta; Magnoliopsida; Fabales; Fabaceae. The record is from RNAcentral.